This 420-nucleotide ribosomal RNA is filed under the name uncultured bacterium. RNAcentral describes it as "bacterial SSU rRNA". It matches the Rfam family "Bacterial small subunit ribosomal RNA", at positions 28 to 425 of the family's 1533-position model. The record is from RNAcentral.
GACGAACGCUGGCGGCGUGCUUAACACAUGCAAGUCGAACGAAGAGCGACGGAAGCUUGCUUCUAUCAAUCUUAGUGGCGAACGGGUGAGUAACGCGUAAUCAACCUGCCCUUCAGAGGGGGACAACAGUUGGAAACGACUGCUAAUACCGCAUACGAUCUAAUCUCGGCAUCGAGGAUGGAUGAAAGGUGGCCUCUACAUGUAAGCUAUCACUGAAGGAGGGGAUUGCGUCUGAUUAGCUAGUUGGAGGGGUAACGGCCCACCAAGGCGAUGAUCAGUAGCCGGUCUGAGAGGAUGAACGGCCACAUUGGGACUGAGACACGGCCCAGACUCCUACGGGAGGCAGCAGUGGGGAAUCUUCCGCAAUGGACGAAUGUCUGACGGAGCAACGCCGCGUGAGUGAUGACGGCCUUCGGGUUG